GGCAAUAUAGUUUAGAUUUUUUAAAUAAUGCUUUUGUAAAGCAUAGAUGGAACUAUGAAAUAUGG
Molecule: transfer RNA, 65 nt
Filed under: Trichobilharzia szidati
Lineage: Eukaryota; Metazoa; Platyhelminthes; Trematoda; Strigeidida; Schistosomatidae
Description: tRNA-Thr
Source: RNAcentral